GUCUGUUAAGUCUGAGGUGAAAGCCUUCGGCUUAACCGGAGUAGUGCAUUGGAAACUGGGAGACGUGAGUGCAGAAGAGGAGAGUGGAACUCCAUGUGUAGCGGUGAAAUGCGUGGAUAUAUGGAAGAACACCAGUGGCGAGAGCGGCUCUCUGGUCUGUAACUGACGCUGAGGUUCGAAAGCGUGGGUAGCAAUCAG
Molecule: ribosomal RNA, 198 nt
Filed under: uncultured bacterium
Lineage: Bacteria
Description: partial 16S ribosomal RNA
Rfam family: Bacterial small subunit ribosomal RNA
Source: RNAcentral